This 284-nucleotide unclassified non-coding RNA is filed under the name uncultured fungus. RNAcentral's name for it is "sequence contains ITS2". The record is from RNAcentral. Lineage: Eukaryota; Fungi.
AACGCAUCUUGCGCCCUUUGGUUACUCCGAAGGGCAUGCCUGUUUGAGAGUCAUUAUUAUUCUCAACUUCAAAGUUUACUUUGAAGCUUGGAUAUGGGGGGAUAUUGCUGGCAACUUGUGUGUUGGCUCCUCUGAAAUACAUUAGCAGAACCUUAAUGUCCUUUUGGCUCUGGUUUGAUAAAUGAUAUCUAUGCCAUUGCUGGGGAAACACUGGUUUCAGCUUCUAAAGUCAUUUUUGUUGAAAACUUGGCCUCAAAUCAGGUAGGACUACCCGCUGAACUUAA